AUAAGAAAGUUUGGUUCUAGCUUUUGGUUAAUACUAUCAUUACGAGACACAUUGGUACUAUAGGGGUAUUGGGAGUAGCACAGGCCUAAAAUUAAAGUUUAAAUAACAAUAAGAAGUAAGGGCUGAUGAAGUUUACUAUUAGUAAUAAUCUAGGAUGGUUGAUAAAUUUUCCCGACACCAGUGGAGAAUAUUGGAUAAAAUCAGAAAUGAUGGUUCAGGUUAGAUAGAGCGAGAAGGGAAAUUUAGUGCCAGCACCUGCGGUUAAACUAAUUCUUGCAUUAAUCUUUUCGUAGGGGAGUAAAAGUUUAAUAUUAAAGUAAUAAAAAGGUGUACAAAUGGUUAAAUAUAUUUCACAAAAAGUGUUAAGUGCUUUAUAAACUUAGAUCUUAAAAGUCUAUUGAGAAGACCGGGAUUAGAGACCCCGUUAUAAAUGAUGUUUCUAGUUUCUGCGGUAAGUACGAGCAAAAAUCAGGCUUAAAAACCAAAGAACUUGGCGGUGCGCUAUAUUAGUUCAGGGGAACUUGACGGUUAAAUCGAUAAUCCUCGUUAUACCUUACCUUUUUUUGUCUUGCUAUACCGCCGUUGCCAGUUGAAUUUUUAAUGGGAUAGAGUUUUGCGGAGAAAGUGCUGAACAUCUGUUCAGUACUUAGAAAUUCAGGUAAACGUAGUGGAAAUAUAAAAAGGGCUUAGUUGAGUUACAUUGUCCUAUUGAGGAUAUAAAAUGAAAUAUUUUAUGGAAUUUGGACCUGACAGUAAAUCCUAUGUAAUAGAGGGGGGUUGAAUAGUACAAUGGUGCGUGUACAAAUUGCCCGGUGCCCCCAGAUAUAAAAGCUGGGGUAAGCCGUAACAUGGUAAUGCUACUAGAAAGUGGUGUUAAUUAAAU
This 883-nucleotide ribosomal RNA is filed under the name Macoma balthica. RNAcentral describes it as "Limecola balthica 12S ribosomal RNA". The record is from RNAcentral. Lineage: Eukaryota; Metazoa; Mollusca; Bivalvia; Cardiida; Tellinidae.